Molecule: ribosomal RNA, 2906 nt
Filed under: Escherichia coli KOEGE 40 (102a)
Lineage: Bacteria; Pseudomonadati; Pseudomonadota; Gammaproteobacteria; Enterobacterales; Enterobacteriaceae
Description: bacterial LSU rRNA
Rfam family: Bacterial large subunit ribosomal RNA
Source: RNAcentral
UUAAGCGACUAAGCGUACACGGUGGAUGCCCUGGCAGUCAGAGGCGAUGAAGGACGUGCUAAUCUGCGAUAAGCGUCGGUAAGGUGAUAUGAACCGUUAUAACCGGCGAUUUCCGAAUGGGGAAACCCAGUGUGUUUCGACACACUAUCAUUAACUGAAUCCAUAGGUUAAUGAGGCGAACCGGGGGAACUGAAACAUCUAAGUACCCCGAGGAAAAGAAAUCAACCGAGAUUCCCCCAGUAGCGGCGAGCGAACGGGGAGCAGCCCAGAGCCUGAAUCAGUGUGUGUGUUAGUGGAAGCGUCUGGAAAGGCGCGCGAUACAGGGUGACAGCCCCGUACACAAAAAUGCACAUGCUGUGAGCUCGAUGAGUAGGGCGGGACACGUGGUAUCCUGUCUGAAUAUGGGGGGACCAUCCUCCAAGGCUAAAUACUCCUGACUGACCGAUAGUGAACCAGUACCGUGAGGGAAAGGCGAAAAGAACCCCGGCGAGGGGAGUGAAAAAGAACCUGAAACCGUGUACGUACAAGCAGUGGGAGCACAGAGCAAUCUGUGUGACUGCGUACCUUUUGUAUAAUGGGUCAGCGACUUAUAUUCUGUAGCAAGGUUAACCGAAUAGGGGAGCCGAAGGGAAACCGAGUCUUAACUGGGCGUUAAGUUGCAGGGUAUAGACCCGAAACCCGGUGAUCUAGCCAUGGGCAGGUUGAAGGUUGGGUAACACUAACUGGAGGACCGAACCGACUAAUGUUGAAAAAUUAGCGGAUGACUUGUGGCUGGGGGUGAAAGGCCAAUCAAACCGGGAGAUAGCUGGUUCUCCCCGAAAGCUAUUUAGGUAGCGCCUCGUGAAUUCAUCUCCGGGGGUAGAGCACUGUUUCGGCAAGGGGGUCAUCCCGACUUACCAACCCGAUGCAAACUGCGAAUACCGGAGAAUGUUAUCACGGGAGACACACGGCGGGUGCUAACGUCCGUCGUGAAGAGGGAAACAACCCAGACCGCCAGCUAAGGUCCCAAAGUCAUGGUUAAGUGGGAAACGAUGUGGGAAGGCCCAGACAGCCAGGAUGUUGGCUUAGAAGCAGCCAUCAUUUAAAGAAAGCGUAAUAGCUCACUGGUCGAGUCGGCCUGCGCGGAAGAUGUAACGGGGCUAAACCAUGCACCGAAGCUGCGGCAGCGACGCUUAUGCGUUGUUGGGUAGGGGAGCGUUCUGUAAGCCUGCGAAGGUGUGCUGUGAGGCAUGCUGGAGGUAUCAGAAGUGCGAAUGCUGACAUAAGUAACGAUAAAGCGGGUGAAAAGCCCGCUCGCCGGAAGACCAAGGGUUCCUGUCCAACGUUAAUCGGGGCAGGGUGAGUCGACCCCUAAGGCGAGGCCGAAAGGCGUAGUCGAUGGGAAACAGGUUAAUAUUCCUGUACUUGGUGUUACUGCGAAGGGGGGACGGAGAAGGCUAUGUUGGCCGGGCGACGGUUGUCCCGGUUUAAGCGUGUAGGCUGGUUUUCCAGGCAAAUCCGGAAAAUCAAGGCUGAGGCGUGAUGACGAGGCACUACGGUGCUGAAGCAACAAAUGCCCUGCUUCCAGGAAAAGCCUCUAAGCAUCAGGUAACAUCAAAUCGUACCCCAAACCGACACAGGUGGUCAGGUAGAGAAUACCAAGGCGCUUGAGAGAACUCGGGUGAAGGAACUAGGCAAAAUGGUGCCGUAACUUCGGGAGAAGGCACGCUGAUAUGUAGGUGAAGUCCCUCGCGGAUGGAGCUGAAAUCAGUCGAAGAUACCAGCUGGCUGCAACUGUUUAUUAAAAACACAGCACUGUGCAAACACGAAAGUGGACGUAUACGGUGUGACGCCUGCCCGGUGCCGGAAGGUUAAUUGAUGGGGUUAGCGGUAACGCGAAGCUCUUGAUCGAAGCCCCGGUAAACGGCGGCCGUAACUAUAACGGUCCUAAGGUAGCGAAAUUCCUUGUCGGGUAAGUUCCGACCUGCACGAAUGGCGUAAUGAUGGCCAGGCUGUCUCCACCCGAGACUCAGUGAAAUUGAACUCGCUGUGAAGAUGCAGUGUACCCGCGGCAAGACGGAAAGACCCCGUGAACCUUUACUAUAGCUUGACACUGAACAUUGAGCCUUGAUGUGUAGGAUAGGUGGGAGGCUUAGAAGUGUGGACGCCAGUCUGCAUGGAGCCGACCUUGAAAUACCACCCUUUAAUGUUUGAUGUUCUAACGUUGACCCGUAAUCCGGGUUGCGGACAGUGUCUGGUGGGUAGUUUGACUGGGGCGGUCUCCUCCUAAAGAGUAACGGAGGAGCACGAAGGUUGGCUAAUCCUGGUCGGACAUCAGGAGGUUAGUGCAAUGGCAUAAGCCAGCUUGACUGCGAGCGUGACGGCGCGAGCAGGUGCGAAAGCAGGUCAUAGUGAUCCGGUGGUUCUGAAUGGAAGGGCCAUCGCUCAACGGAUAAAAGGUACUCCGGGGAUAACAGGCUGAUACCGCCCAAGAGUUCAUAUCGACGGCGGUGUUUGGCACCUCGAUGUCGGCUCAUCACAUCCUGGGGCUGAAGUAGGUCCCAAGGGUAUGGCUGUUCGCCAUUUAAAGUGGUACGCGAGCUGGGUUUAGAACGUCGUGAGACAGUUCGGUCCCUAUCUGCCGUGGGCGCUGGAGAACUGAGGGGGGCUGCUCCUAGUACGAGAGGACCGGAGUGGACGCAUCACUGGUGUUCGGGUUGUCAUGCCAAUGGCACUGCCCGGUAGCUAAAUGCGGAAGAGAUAAGUGCUGAAAGCAUCUAAGCACGAAACUUGCCCCGAGAUGAGUUCUCCCUGACUCCUUGAGAGUCCUGAAGGAACGUUGAAGACGACGACGUUGAUAGGCCGGGUGUGUAAGCGCAGCGAUGCGUUGAGCUAACCGGUACUAAUGAACCGUGAGGCUUAACCUU